RNAcentral lists this ribosomal RNA (1227 nucleotides) under Triticum aestivum (bread wheat). RNAcentral's name for it is "partial small subunit ribosomal RNA". The record is from RNAcentral. Lineage: Eukaryota; Viridiplantae; Streptophyta; Magnoliopsida; Poales; Poaceae.
AUGCAGAUCUUGGCCAACCCACCAACCACGCACACAUGCAUUGGCACGGCGCUCCGGGCGUGGCCCGACUUCUGCAGCCCGCUGAACCUUCCUCGCGUGUGCCCGCACUUCCUCGGCCUCUGCUUGUUCCUGCGCCUCGCCGUAAACAUCAUCAGAACAAGGGCAAGCUUAUGCUAUCCUGCUGAGCCACGACCGGCACUACCCCUCGUCGUUUCGGGAGGACCAGGAGAGCACGAGCAUACCACCUCUGCACGAAGACCACCUCGUCAGCCGCGCAUGGAGUCGAGGAAGGCCGAGCCUAUAAUUGCGGGAGGUCGCGGCGACGUCAGCAACGUCGCCACACCGAAGAUGGGGGUUGCUAGACGAGAGACGAGAGAUCAUGGGCGGGAUCAAGACGGGAAGGAGGAUAUGGAUUCAGUGGAUGAGAGGGGUGGGGUGGGGAUCACGAGAGCUUAUCCAUGUCUUGGGGCGGCCAUCCAUGCUGAGCGGCAGCAGCGAGGUGCCAUCGUGGUGGUGAUGGGCAACAUCGGCGGCGGCUGCGCUGCCCGGAUCAGCAGAUCGACGGCGGCGAAUCCGGCGAAGGCGGCGGCUGCGUAUCCUCGGGAGAGGGGGAGGAGCGGAUCGGACCUCGUUCGGGAGAGAGUGAAGUCUAAAAUAAACCCUGAGAUUAUGCAUCCCGGGAGUGCCUGCUGCUAUCCGGUGAGCACGCAGGCCAUGAUGGCCAUGGCAGCCGUGGCCGGUGAGGAGCUAGGAGCCCAGCACGCCAACGGCGCAGAGUUGUUCGUCAUCAAGAGGAUGAAGGACGCCAUUAGGGAUCACCGGACCAAGCUCAACAUCUCCCUUGGCUUCGUCGACGCUGUGUCUCGGAGGCUCGCCGCCGUCCGCGACGACAAAUCUCCAGGCGUGGGCACGCACGGCAAAGGCGAAGACGACCAGAGCCACCUGAACUUCUUCUGUAUCAACGAGCAUCAAUUUAGCAUUGAAGUGUUGCCGGAAGGCACAUGCGUACAGGGCUGGUUUGAUAUAGUCCUGUACAAGCACGAGCUAGUGUACUUCGCUGUUAAUCUCGACAGAGCCAACACUCCGUUGAUGGACACGGCGGCGGUGCUCGCCGCGGAGGCCAAGCCGCCAGUCUUCCCGUUAAUAUACUUCUUCAUGUUCAUGCGCUGUUGGUGGCAUCCAUGGCGGCAUCCUCGCCCCGUUGACGCCACCUUUCCUGCAGCCUAG